ACCAAUCAAAAACUUAUAAUCGGAAUAUGAAAAAAUUUCAAAAUGUCAAGAAAAAUAUUAAUUAUUUUAUAAAUAUUAGUGAUUAAAUUGCAAUUUUUUUAUAAUUUAGAUGAAUUAAAUAAAAUUUUCAAAAAAUUAAGUAUCCAAAAAUAAAAAUAUUUUUUUUAAAUAUUCAUAAUGUCAUGUGAAUAGAUCUGAUAAUGGGCCGGGCCACCUGACUAAGCCUAAAGGCCCAUCCAAAAAGAAGGAGGGUUUGAGCAAAAAUAUACGUCUAAAAAAAUGGAGUUGGGCAAAAAAUGAGGCCUGUUUUCAAAACGGGUUACCCCUCGGGUAAGGUUUUUUUGGCUCGAGCUAAGCUUAACAAGUCUACCCUAUACCCGUUCUUUUCUUUUUGUGAUUUCCUCAGCCAACCCUCCCCCAAAUUUUUAUUUCUAAUCCCUAACAGUAACAACUCUAAAUCCAUUCUCCACUCCACCACCCACCGACCACCACCAUCAUCGUUCACCACUCCGGUCACCACCGGUCCACCACACACCCACUAGUCCGUCAUCGUUCACCACUGUUGCAGCAAAACUGAGAACCCAAAGACGAUUCUGUAUACAGAAGAUUAGGUCCUUGGGGUCCAAAAAUUGUACGCAAGUAUAGGACCAAUUGGGAAAGAAAGUUCUAUAAGGUAAAGGUUGGUUUUAUUCCUUUCAUUUAAGUUAACGUGAUGUUUUUCACUUCUUUACAAUACCAUAAUCUAGUUGGAAUGAAACAAGUUGUUGCUUUUCAGAUGAAAAAGUUGAACUGGGCAAUCUGAAUUUUCAUUUCUUGUUGUUAUUCUUCCUAAUUCACUUGUAUAUUCAUGAUUUUUUUAAUUCAAUUAAUUGCACAUAUAUCAUCCUCCAAUAUUUGACCAACCUUGGUUAUUCUUAUUUUCAAAAA
Long non-coding RNA from Gossypium raimondii (Peruvian cotton), 927 nucleotides. RefSeq lists it as uncharacterized. The transcript is spliced from 2 exons. The record is from RefSeq and is a predicted model, not a curated record. NCBI's taxonomy places the organism in Eukaryota, Viridiplantae, Streptophyta, Magnoliopsida, Malvales, Malvaceae.